AUCCCGGUAGCUCAGUGGCAGAGCGCCGCCGUGACAGGGCGGAGGCCGUUGGUUCGACCCCAGCCCGGGAUAC
Molecule: transfer RNA, 73 nt
Filed under: Paractinoplanes abujensis
Lineage: Bacteria; Bacillati; Actinomycetota; Actinomycetes; Micromonosporales; Micromonosporaceae
Description: tRNA-Val
Rfam family: tRNA
About the family: Transfer RNA (tRNA) molecules are approximately 80 nucleotides in length. Their secondary structure includes four short double-helical elements and three loops (D, anti-codon, and T loops).
Source: RNAcentral